UCCCUGGUGGUCCAGCAGCUAAGAUUCCUCACUGGCAAUGUGGGGGCAUCCAGGUUCAAUUCCUGGUCAAGGAA
This 74-nucleotide transfer RNA is filed under the name Ovis aries (sheep). It matches the Rfam family "tRNA". From Rfam's summary of the family: Transfer RNA (tRNA) molecules are approximately 80 nucleotides in length. Lineage: Eukaryota; Metazoa; Chordata; Mammalia; Artiodactyla; Bovidae. The record is from Rfam by way of RNAcentral.